This 450-nucleotide ribosomal RNA is filed under the name uncultured bacterium. RNAcentral's name for it is "partial 16S ribosomal RNA". It matches the Rfam family "Bacterial small subunit ribosomal RNA", at positions 338 to 795 of the family's 1533-position model. The record is from RNAcentral.
CCUACGGGUGGCUGCAGUGAGGAAUAUUGGUCAAUGGAGGCAACUCUGAACCAGCCAUGCCGCGUGAAGGAUGAAGGUCCUCUGGAUUGUAAACUUCUUUUAUAAAAGAAGAAACCCCAGUAUUCUUACUGGGUUGACGGUACUUUAUGAAUAAGCACCGGCUAACUCCGUGCCAGCAGCCGCGGUAAUACGGAGGGUGCAGGCGUUAUCCGGAUUCACUGGGUUUAAGGGGAGCGUGUAUGGCAGGGGUGAAAUCCCCGAGCUUAACUUGGGAACUGCCAUUGAUACUAUCAAUCUUGAAUUCUGUGGAGGUAAGCGGAAUAUAUCAUGUAGCGGUGAAAUGCUUAGAUAUGAUAUAGAACACCAAUAGCGAAGGCAGCUUACUACGCAGAUAUUGACACUGAGGCUCGAAAGCGUGGGGAUCAAACAGGAUUAGAUACCCCGGUAGUC